This 427-nucleotide ribosomal RNA is filed under the name uncultured bacterium. RNAcentral's name for it is "bacterial SSU rRNA". It matches the Rfam family "Bacterial small subunit ribosomal RNA", at positions 355 to 774 of the family's 1533-position model. The record is from RNAcentral.
CUAAGAAUCUUCCGCAAUGGGGGAAACCCUGACGGAGCGACGCCGCGUGAACGAAGAAGGCCGGAAGGUUGUAAAGUUCUUUUCUUAGUGAAGAAUAACGGCAGGAGGGAAUGCCUGUCAGAUGACGUUAGCUAAGGAAUAAGCCCCGGCUAAUUACGUGCCAGCAGCCGCGGUAACACGUAAGGGGCGAGCGUUGUUCGGAAUUAUUGGGCGUAAAGGGCGCGUAGGCGGCUUUGCAAGCCUGGUGUGAAAGGUCACAGCUUAACUGUGGGACUGCGCUGGGAACUGCAUGGCUAGAGUUCAAGAGGGGAAACUGGAAUUCCUGGUGUAGGGGUGAAAUCUGUAGAUAUCAGGAAGAACACCUGUGGCGAAGGCGAGUUUCUGGCUAUGAACUGACGCUGAGGCGCGAAAGCGUGGGGAGCGAACA